RNAcentral lists this unclassified non-coding RNA (233 nucleotides) under uncultured Hebeloma. RNAcentral describes it as "sequence contains ITS1". Lineage: Eukaryota; Fungi; Basidiomycota; Agaricomycetes; Agaricales; Cortinariaceae. The record is from RNAcentral.
UUGAAUGAACUUGGUGUGGUUGUUGCUGGCCCUCUCGGGGACAUGUGCACGCCCGCCAUCCUCAUCUCUCCACCUGUGCACCUUUUGUAGACAUGGAUUGACUUGCCGAGGCAACUCGGUUGGGAGGAAUGCUUCAUCAGCUUUCUUUGCAAUUCCAAGCCUACGUCUUUUUUCAUAUACCCAUAGUAUGUAACAGAAUGUGUCAUUGGGCCUAUGUGCCUAUAAACUUUAUA